RNAcentral lists this ribosomal RNA (481 nucleotides) under uncultured bacterium. Its description in RNAcentral is "partial 16S ribosomal RNA". It matches the Rfam family "Bacterial small subunit ribosomal RNA", at positions 30 to 507 of the family's 1533-position model. The record is from RNAcentral.
UUGAACGCUGGCGGCAUGCCUUACACAUGCAGGUCGAACGGUAACGGGCCUUCGGGUGCCGACGAGUGGCGAACGGGUGAGUAAUACAUCGGAACGUGCCCGAUCGUGGGGGAUAACGAGGCGAAAGCUUUGCUAAUACCGCAUACGAUCUACGGAUGAAAGCAGGGGACCGCAAGGCCUUGCGCGGACGGAGCGGCCGAUGGCAGAUUAGGUAGUUGGUGGGAUAAAAGCUUACCAAGCCGACGAUCUGUAGCUGGUCUGAGAGGAUGAUCAGCCACACUGGGACUGAGACACGGCCCAGACUCCUACGGGAGGCAGCAGUGGGGAAUUUUGGACAAUGGGCGCAAGCCUGAUCCAGCCAUGCCGCGUGCAGGAUGAAGGCCUUCGGGUUGUAAACUGCUUUUGUACGGAACGAAAAGCCUUCUUUUAAUACAGGAGGGUCAUGACGGUACCGUAAGAAUAAGCACCGGCUAACUACGUG